Molecule: long non-coding RNA, 1615 nt
Filed under: Salmo salar (Atlantic salmon)
Lineage: Eukaryota; Metazoa; Chordata; Actinopteri; Salmoniformes; Salmonidae
Description: lncRNA (ENSSSAG00000115658.1)
Source: RNAcentral
GGUGAGAGGUUUGCUGAUGUCAACAUUGUGAACAGCCCCAUGGUGGAGGUGAGGUUAUGGUUCAACAUUGUGAACAGCCCCAUGGUGGUGGUGGGGUUAUGGUUCAACAUCGUGAACAGCCCCAUGGUGGUGGUGAGGUUAUGGUAUGGCCAUUGUGAACAGCCCCAUGGUGGAGGUGAGGUUAUGGUUCCACAUUGUGAACAGCCCCAUGGUGGUGGUGAGGUUAUGGUUCAACAUCGUGAACAGCCCCAUGGUGGUGGUGAGGUUAUGGUUCAACAUCGUGAACAGCCCCAUGGUGGUGGUGAGGUUAUGGUUCAACAUUGUGAACAGCCCCAUGGUGGUGGUGAGGUUAUGGUAUGGCCAUUGUGAACAGCCCCAUGGUGGAGGUGAGGUUAUGGUUCAACAUUGUGAACAGCCCCAUGGUGGAGGUGGUGUUAUGGUUCAAUAUUGUGAACAGCCCCAUGGUGGUGGUGAGGUUAUGGUAUGGGCAGGCAUAAGCCACAGACCAUGAACUCAAGUGCAUUUUAUCGAUGGAAAUCUGAAUGCACAGAGAUACCGUGAUGAGAUCCCAUUGUCAUGCCAUUCAUCCUCACCCAUCACCUCAUGUUUCAGCAUGAUAAUGCACGGCCUGAUGUCGCAAGGAUCUGAACACAAUUCCUGGAAGCUGAAAAAAAAACUGUUCUUCCAUGGCCUGAGUACUCACCAGACAUGUCACCCAUUGAGCAUGUUUGGGAUGCUCUGGAUAUACGUGUACGAUAGCGUGAGAUUCGUAUCUGUAUUCCCAGUCAUGUGAAAUCUGUAGAUUAGGAUCUAAUUAAUGUAUUUCAACUGACUUAUUUCCUUAUAUGAACUGUAACUGUAACUCACUUGCAUUUUGGGUUUAUAUUUUUGUUCAGUAUAAUAAAAAGAUCAGUUGUAAAUGUUUUAUGUUUGAUAUGAUGUUAGUAACACUAAGUCAUUCCAUCCUUUCACUAAAUGGUAGUAACACUAAGUCAUUCCAUCCUUUCACUAAAGCUCUAAAGUAACUUUUAAUUGACAGAUGCCUCAUUUAUAUGUUGUGGAUGUUGAUGAAAGGAAAUCCCAUAUAGGCUACUGACCAGGACUUUGUUAUGGCAUCUUCUGUUUGGGAGUCUCAGGUCAGGUCAGAGCCAUGAUCAGAAUGUGUCUCUGUCUAUUUCCAGCCCUGACAUUUCUACCUGUCCUGAUCUAGUGUUUGACCCCUGACCUCCUCACACCGUCUCACUGUCCAUGUCUGCUUUUAGCUCCCACCUCUACUUCACUGUGUUAUAAUGGACCUUAUGGUUGUUAUGUCACCUCUGUAACCAGCUAUCAAACAUACUGACCUUUCUGACCCUAUCCCACCUCUACUUCACUGUGUUAUAAUGGACCUUAUGGUUGUUAUGUCACCUCUGUAACCAGGUAUCAAACAUACUGACCUUUCUGACCCUAUCCCAUGGCCCUACUUUCUAGAACUAAACAUUUAAUGUCCUCUGAGUUUUGCUUACUGUCCAUUUACUUAUGUAUUAUGUAUUUGUUGUAUAUUGGGGUUGUGCCUCAGAGCAUCAUGGGGGUUUGCAUGUGUUGAGAUGAUCACGUUCCAGAUAAAUGGUUGAUC